Molecule: ribosomal RNA, 1500 nt
Filed under: Streptomyces bikiniensis
Lineage: Bacteria; Bacillati; Actinomycetota; Actinomycetes; Kitasatosporales; Streptomycetaceae
Description: bacterial LSU rRNA
Rfam family: Bacterial large subunit ribosomal RNA
Source: RNAcentral
GUAGUAGGUAAGCGAUGGGGUGACGCAGGAAGGUAGUCCAGCCCGGGCGGUGGUUGUCCCGGGGUAAGGGUGUAGGACGUCACGUAGGCAAAUCCGCGUGACACAUAGUCUGAGACCUGAUGCCGAGCCGAUUGUGGUGAAGUGGAUGAUCCUAUGCUGUCGAGAAAAGCCUCUAGCGAGUUUCAUGGCGGCCCGUACCCUAAACCGACUCAGGUGGUCAGGUAGAGAAUACCGAGGCGUUCGGGUGAACUAUGGUUAAGGAACUCGGCAAAAUGCCCCCGUAACUUCGGGAGAAGGGGGGCCACACCUGGUGAAGGAACUUGCUUCCUGAGCUGGGGGUGGCCGCAGAGACCAGCGAGAAGCGACUGUUUACUAAAAACACAGGUCCGUGCGAAGCCGUAAGGCGAUGUAUACGGACUGACGCCUGCCCGGUGCUGGAACGUUAAGGGGACCGGUUAGCUCCAUUUCGGUGGGGCGAAGCUGAGAACUUAAGCGCCAGUAAACGGCGGUGGUAACUAUAACCAUCCUAAGGUAGCGAAAUUCCUUGUCGGGUAAGUUCCGACCUGCACGAAUGGCGUAACGACUUCUCGACUGUCUCAACCAUAGGCCCGGUGAAAUUGCACUACGAGUAAAGAUGCUCGUUUCGCGCAGCAGGACGGAAAGACCCCGGGACCUUUACUACAGUUUGAUAUUGGUGUUCGGUUCGGCUUGUGUAGGAUAGGUGGGAGACUGUGAAGCCGUGACGCCAGUCAUGGUGGAGUCGUCGUUGAAAUACCACUCUGGUCGUGCUGGAUGUCUAACCUCGGUCCGUGAUCCGGAUCAGGGACAGUGUCUGAUGGGUAGUUUAACUGGGGCGGUUGCCUCCCAAAGGGUAACGGAGGCGCCCAAAGGUUCCCUCAGCCUGGUUGGCAAUCAGGUGUUGAGUGUAAGUGCACAAGGGAGCUUGACUGUGAGACCGACGGGUCGAGCAGGGACGAAAGUCGGGACUAGUGAUCCGGCGGUGGCUUGUGGAAGCGCCGUCGCUCAACGGAUAAAAGGUACCCCGGGGAUAACAGGCUGAUCUUCCCCAAGAGUCCAUAUCGACGGGAUGGUUUGGCACCUCGAUGUCGGCUCGUCGCAUCCUGGGGCUGGAGUCGGUCCCAAGGGUUGGGCUGUUCGCCCAUUAAAGCGGUACGCGAGCUGGGUUUAGAACGUCGUGAGACAGUUCGGUCCCUAUCCGCUGUGCGCGUAGGAAUAUUGAGAAGGGCUGUCCCUAGUACGAGAGGACCGGGACGGACGAACCUCUGGUGUGCCAGUUGUCCUGCCAAGGGCAUGGCUGGUUGGCUACGUUCGGGAGGGAUAACCGCUGAAAGCAUCUAAGCGGGAAGCCUGCUUCGAGAUGAGUAUUCCCACCCACUUGAUGGGGUAAGGCUCCCAGUAGACGACUGGGUUGAUAGGCCGGAUGUGGAAGCCCUGCAAAGGGUGGAGCUGACCGGUACUAAUAGGCCGAGGGCUUGUCCU